UUUUAGCUGUUUGUUAGUGCUCGUUAUUGCUUAAUCAGGCAGUAAGCGGAAGCCCAGUAAAUCCACAGUUAUUUAGCAAUUACCCAGCAUGCACCAGUGAUAACGCUGGAACCCUGACAACAGCGUAGCUAGUUUCAUGUUAUUUCUUAAUUGGUUUCCAGUGUUGGAGGAAAGACAGGCUUCUUUGAAUAUGCACUGAUGCCUGACGACCUUUAGGUGGUAACCUUGUGCAAUGCAGCGUUCAUAUCUCCAUCUGGCUUUUUGUGUGGUUGUUUGUGUGUUUCCCCCCCCACCCAUCCCCCACAGACUGCGAGUGACCUGUCUGGGGCUCGAUGGGGGUGCUGUCAACCCAAGCACGGUUUGGGUGACUGCAGGUUAAAACUGAAGAGACAGCCAACGUGAGCACGACGUUACCUGUUAGAGCUUCCCCGUCUGUGGUCGUCUCCCACCUUGUCAAGGGAAGGGUCUAGGGGUUGUGUCUCAUGCUCUCUAUUGCAGACCAGACCGCGUGUCUCUUGGCCUAAAUGCAUGGCCGGAAACAGCCAGCCAUACCCCGGCCAAAUUACCACAGCAACAUAACCAAGAAUGUUCAUAACCUAUUAAUCAUCACGCCAUUGUAGAGACUGCUGAGAUGGUAAACUGCCCUUCAUCCAGCUUCUGAGCUCCCUCCCCGGCCCUCCCCCACCCCAGAACAUCAGCACCUACUGGAGCGAGGGCCACAAACUGGGGAAAAAGCUACUAGACUCAUCGCUGUUGGGUCCCCAGAUCCACGUUUGAUACCAGGAUAGUGACAUGAAGCUCUAUCUCACCAAAUAAUCAACCCCAACCACAUCACCAGGGAGGGGUCUACAAACACCAAGGGGGAACUUAUUUCAGUAAAGCAUCACCCCAGAAAUGGCUAUACUGACAUUGUCUUGAAUUGUAAAUCUGUUCAGACAAUAACUAUAAACAGAGUUUGGUCUA
Long non-coding RNA from Paramormyrops kingsleyae, 963 nucleotides. RefSeq lists it as uncharacterized. NCBI's taxonomy places the organism in Eukaryota, Metazoa, Chordata, Actinopteri, Osteoglossiformes, Mormyridae. The record is from RefSeq and is a predicted model, not a curated record.